Molecule: transfer RNA, 72 nt
Filed under: Oligophagozyma castellii
Lineage: Eukaryota; Fungi; Ascomycota; Saccharomycetes; Saccharomycetales; Saccharomycetaceae
Description: [Candida] castellii transfer RNA-Met(f)
Rfam family: tRNA
About the family: Transfer RNA (tRNA) molecules are approximately 80 nucleotides in length. Their secondary structure includes four short double-helical elements and three loops (D, anti-codon, and T loops).
Source: RNAcentral
GCAAUAUGAUGUAAUUUGGUUAACAUCUUAGGCUCAUGACCUAAUUAUAUACGUUCAAAUCGUGUUAUUGCU